Molecule: unclassified non-coding RNA, 372 nt
Filed under: uncultured Flavobacteriaceae bacterium
Lineage: Bacteria; Pseudomonadati; Bacteroidota; Flavobacteriia; Flavobacteriales; Flavobacteriaceae
Description: contains 16S-23S intergenic spacer region
Source: RNAcentral
UCGCGGUUUGCACCGGCAGUCUGAUUAGAGUGCCCAUCUUUACAUGCUGGUAACUAAUCACAGGGGUUGCGCUCGUUAUAGGACUUAACCUGACACCUCACGGCACGAGCUGACGACAACCAUGCAGCACCUUGUGAAUUGUCCGAAGAAAUACUUGUUUCCAAAUACGUCAAUCCACAUUUAAGCCUUGGUAAGGUUCCUCGCGUAUCAUCGAAUUAAACCACAUGCUCCACCGCUUGUGCGGGCCCCCGUCAAUUCCUUUGAGUUUCAUUCUUGCGAACGUACUCCCCAGGUGGGAUACUUAUCACUUUCGCUUAACCACUGAUCCCUAAAGACCAACAGCUAGUAUCCAUCGUUUACGGCGUGGACUAC